CAACAGUUGAUCAGGUGAUGACGUUUUCUGUAGUUUUGUUCCCGGACGAGGAUGACUGUGGGGCAGUAGUUCCACGCCAGGAUGGAGCAAGCACAGUACUCCAAGGCACCAGAGAGGUAAUCC
Esox lucius (northern pike) is the source of this 123-nucleotide long non-coding RNA. RefSeq lists it as uncharacterized. Lineage: Eukaryota; Metazoa; Chordata; Actinopteri; Esociformes; Esocidae. The transcript has 3 exons. The record is from RefSeq and is a predicted model, not a curated record.